UCUGGUUGAUCCUGCCAGUAGUUAUAUGCUUGUCUCAAAGAUUAAGCCAUGCAUGUCUAAGUACACACGAAUUAAAAGUGAAACCGCAAAAGGCUCAUUAUAUCAGUUAUGGUUCCUUAGAUCGUUAACAGUUACUUGGAUAACUGUGGUAAUUCUAGAGCUAAUACAUGCAAUUAAAACAUGAACCUUAUGGAACAUGUGCUUUUAUUAGGCUAAAACCAAGCGAUCGCAAGAUCGUUAUAUUGGUUGAACUCUAGAUAACAUGCAGAUCGUAUGGUCUUGUACCGACGACAGAUCUUUCAAAUGUCUGCCCUAUCAACUUUUGAUGGUAGUAUCUAGGACUACCAUGGUUGCAACGGGUAACGGGGAAUCAGGGUUCGAUUCCGGAGAGGGAGCCUGAGAAACGGCUACCACAUCUAAGGAAGGCAGCAGGCGCGUAAAUUACCCACUCCCAGCUCGGGGAGGUAGUGACGAAAAAUAACAAUACAGGACUCAUAUCCGAGGCCCUGUAAUUGGAAUGAGUACACUUUAAAUCCUUUAACAAGGACCAAUUGGAGGGCAAGUCUGGUGCCAGCAGCCGCGGUAAUUCCAGCUCCAAUAGCGUAUAUUAAAGUUGUUGCGGUUAAAACGUUCGUAGUUGAACUUGUGCUUCAUACGGGUAGUACAACUUACAAUUGUGGUUAGUACUAUACCUUUAUGUAUGUAAGCGUAUUACCGGUGGAGUUCUUACAUGUGCUUAGAUACUUGUAUUUUUUCAUAUGUUCCUCCUAUUUAAAAACCUGCAUUAGUGCUCUUAAACGAGUGUUAUUGUGGGCCGGUACAAUUACUUUGAACAAAUUAGAGUGCUUAAAGCAGGCUUCAAAUGCCUGAAUAUUCUGUGCAUGGGAUAAUGAAAUAAGACCUCUGUUCUGCUUUCAUUGGUUUUCAGAUCAAGAGGUAAUGAUUAAUAGAAGCAGUUUGGGGGCAUUAGUAUUACGACGCGAGAGGUGAAAUUCUUGGACCGUCGUAAGACUAACUUAAGCGAAAGCAUUUGCCAAAGAUGUUUUCAUUAAUCAAGAACGAAAGUUAGAGGUUCGAAGGCGAUCAGAUACCGCCCUA
Molecule: ribosomal RNA, 1098 nt
Filed under: Drosophila biarmipes
Lineage: Eukaryota; Metazoa; Arthropoda; Insecta; Diptera; Drosophilidae
Description: SSU rRNA
Rfam family: Eukaryotic small subunit ribosomal RNA
Source: RNAcentral